GACGAACGCUGGCGGCGUGCCUAAUACAUGCAAGUUGAGCGAUGAAGAUUGGUGCUUGCCCCAAUUUGAAGAGCAGCGAACGGGUGAGUAACGCGUGGGGAAUCUGCCUUUGAGCGGGGGACAACAUUUGGAAACGAAUGCUAAUACCGCAUAACAACUUUAAACAUAAGUUUUAAGUUUGAAAGAUGCAAUUGCAUCACUCAAAGAUGAUCCCGCGUUGUAUUAGCUAGUUGGUGAGGUAAAGGCUCACCAAGGCGAUGAUACAUAGCCGACCUGAGAGGGUGAUCGGCCACAAUGGGACUGAGACACGGCCCAAACGCCUACGGGAGGCAGCAGUAGGGAAUCUUCGGCAAGGGACGAAAGUCUGACCGAGCAACGCCGCGGGAGUGAAGAAGGGUUUCGGAUCGUAAAACUCUGUUGGUAGAGAAGAACGUUGGUGAGAGUGGAAAGCUCAUCAAGUGACGGUAACUACCCAGAAAGGGGCGGCUAACUACGUG
RNAcentral lists this ribosomal RNA (497 nucleotides) under uncultured bacterium. RNAcentral's name for it is "partial 16S ribosomal RNA". It matches the Rfam family "Bacterial small subunit ribosomal RNA", at positions 28 to 507 of the family's 1533-position model. The record is from RNAcentral.